CGAGCGAUGAAACUUUAACAGAACCCUUCGGGGCGAAGAUAAAGUGGAUUAGCGGCGGACGGGUGAGUAACACGUGUGUAACCUGCCUUAGACAUUGGGAUAGCCUCGGGAAACCGGGAUUAAUACCAAAUAAAAUCAUAAUGACACAUGUCAUAACGAUCAAAACUCCGGUGGUCUAAGAUGGACUCACGUCCCAUUAGCUAGUUGGUAGAGUAAAAGCCUAGCCAAGGCGACGAUGGGUAGCCGGCCUGAGAGGGUGAACGGCCACAUUGGAACUGAGAAACGGUCCAAACUCCUACGGGAGGCAGCAGUGGGGAAUAUUGCACAAUGGAGGGAACUCUGAUGCAGCGACGCCGCGUGAACGAAGAAGGCUUUCGAGUCGUAAGGUUCUUUUAUAUGGGAAGAUAAUGACGGUACCAUAAGAAAAAGCCCCGGCUAACUACGUGCCAGCAGCCGCGGUAAUACGUAGGGGGCUAGCGUUGUCCGGAAUCACUGGGCGUAAAGGGUUCGCAGGCGGAAAUGCAAGUCAGAUGUAAAAGGCAGUAGCUUAACUACUGUAAGCAUUUGAAACUGCAUAUCUUGAGAAGAGUAGAGGUAAGUGGAAUUUUUAGUGUAGCGGUGAAAUGCGUAGAUAUUAAAAAGAAUACCGGUGGCGAAGGCGACUUACUGGGCUCAUUCUGACG
This 683-nucleotide ribosomal RNA is filed under the name uncultured Eubacteriales bacterium. RNAcentral's name for it is "bacterial SSU rRNA". It matches the Rfam family "Bacterial small subunit ribosomal RNA", at positions 63 to 745 of the family's 1533-position model. The record is from RNAcentral. Lineage: Bacteria; Bacillati; Bacillota; Clostridia; Eubacteriales.